Gasterosteus aculeatus aculeatus (three-spined stickleback) is the source of this 841-nucleotide long non-coding RNA. The record is from Ensembl. Lineage: Eukaryota; Metazoa; Chordata; Actinopteri; Perciformes; Gasterosteidae.
AAUGGCAUCUAAUAAACUCCAGUGAGUGUAUAACAAGCAGUUGACUUUGUGUUGGUGACCCUUCUUCUUGCCUGGAUUUACUUAAAAGAAACAGUAAAAACAUCCAUGAAAUCCUCCUUAUGAUAAUCAAAGAUCUUUGACUCAAGGAGAGCACCAUCUGUCUUGCUUUCCCCAGACGCAUGACUUUGACUUUGAUCUACUGAAGGACAUGCUUCAUUUGGUAGACAAAUGCGUAUGGAAAGCUGAAAGGCUGUGUGUGCAUCGUGACCAGUCGAGUUGAUAUGGAGCCAUGGCAUCAAUGCAAAUGGCCUCCCAGCACAAAGUAAAGAUUUAAGUGUGUCCCAUAACACAGCACUCAGCCCAGUGUUCCUGACCAAUGUACCCACGUACACAGACUCUAAUUCUGAUGCAGACCUGACAGAUACGGAGCAUUUGUCUGUGACUCGGUGCAGAGCCAAGAACAACGAUGUGUUCCAAGAUAUUUAUGUGUCUGAUUGGAGCUGUGCAUAUAUACUUUCAGGUCCUUGCAGCGGUCGAAGAUCUCUACAUUGCCGAGCUGAUGGUGGAGAGUAAUGUUACUAUGGAGGCCGACCAGAUCCUUUCCAUUUUGAAUUCAACACAUGACAUCAAACUGUCUGACUUGACCACAGUGAUCCUCUCCCACAAUGAACUGGUUGCAGAGUGCCUGCUUAUUCGAAAUGAAUCCACCUGCAGCUGCAGUACCGGCUACAUUUGGAGCAACCCGGUGUGCAACCAAUUCAACUGUUGCCGGGAGGCUCCUUGUCCUCAAAAUGUGUCCCACAUCGUGCCACUCUGUGUUGCCAAAGUCAUGGUAAAUAUC